This 1865-nucleotide long non-coding RNA is filed under the name Capsicum annuum. RNAcentral's name for it is "long non-coding RNA (CANN_LNC018924)". The record is from RNAcentral. Lineage: Eukaryota; Viridiplantae; Streptophyta; Magnoliopsida; Solanales; Solanaceae.
UAUGUGAGACCUUUAAUUCAUGGAUCUUAGUCCCUAGACAUAAAUCUAUCAUUACUAUGUUGGAGGAAAUUAGGAGAAAAAUCAUGACUAGAACUGUGGAUAUGAUUAAGUUUGCCAAUACUUGGAUAUAUGAUAUUGCACCUAUGGCUAGACUUAUAUUGGAGAAGAAUAAUGAUAGGGCUAGGGCUUGCAAGCUGCUUUGGAAUGUUGAUAUUGGAUUUGAGGUUGGAGAAGGGGAGUAUAGGCAUAUUAUGAACUUGACUAAUAGGUUAUGUAGUUGUAGAACUUGGCAGUUGAGAGGCAUUCCUCGCCAACAUACCAUUUGUGCUUUGUGUUAUGUUGAAAAAGAUCCUGAACCUUAUGUUGAACAUUGGUAUAAGAAGGAAAUCUUCAUGAAGGCUUAUAAUCACUUUAUUCAACCAAUCUUUAAUAUAAAAAUGUGGCUUGAGACAAAUAAUCCAAAAAUUGAGCCCCCUGAACCUAAAAAAAAUGCCUGGCAGACCUGCAAAAAAUAGAAAGAGAGGCAAAGGGGAACCGGUAAAGAAAUCUGGAAAGAUUUCCAAAAAAAGGUGGGACAAUAACAUGCUCCAAGUGGAAUCAACAAGGCUAUAAUAGAAGAUUUUGCAAGGUAAAACAGUCACUUUUAUUUGAUUUUAGAAGUUUAUUUUUUAUGUUGAUUUUAUAACUUAUUAACUGGUGUUCUAUGAUUUUAUAGAUUCCUGAUCCCAAUGCACAAACACAUAGCCAAGGAUUUCAGUUUACUGGUCAAAGUUUACAAGGAAGCUGCCAGCCUUAAUGCUCAAGCCAACCUUCACCUUUAACCUCAAAAAAAUCAGCAUCAUGUAGCUCAAGUCAACCUGGACCUUCAACCUCAAAGAAAUCAGCAUCAUGUAGCUCAAGUCAACCUGCUUCUUCAACUACAAUUUAUGGUGAUACAAGCAGAGUUAGAAGCUUGAAAGAAGCUACAAAAUCUACCUUUUGUGGUGAUAUAAGAAUUCCUGUUAGAAAAGGAAUCAAGAGUCAAUUACCUCCUAGAAGUAGAGCAACCAUUGGGCAGAAGAGGGGAAGAGUUGGAACCACAAAGGAUGUUGAUUAAGGUGGAUCAAAAAGGUUAAAGAAUGCUGGAUUUGGGAUCUACACUAGUGCAAGGGGAACCCAAAUACUGAAUGUAAGUUAACUUAUAUUAUUUCUUUAAAAAUAAAGGGCAUAUAUAUAAUGUUUAUUGAUCCUUCAUUUUUGUUCAACAAAUAGCCUGGGACAUCAAGUCAAAGGAUCCUACAAAGUGGUACAUCUUACAAGGAUGCAAGUUCUACAGGGGUUAAUGUUGGUUAUAGGCCUAGAGGCUUGAAAUGAUAAAAUAAAUAUGCUGUCACCACUAAUCAAUUGCAGUAUAUGACCAACAAAAAGAAGAAGCAUUUUAGUCUGAUGGUGUAUUGUGAUUCUAUUGUGUAAUGUGCAGUACCAAACGAUCAAUUUAGUUUUUGAAGUAAAAAUUCUGGUUCUUUAGUUUUUGAAACCUGAAAAUUCAGGUUCUUUAAGUAGUAUCAUGCAAACUGUGAGCUCCAAUAUGGAGCAUGUUUGUUGGAUUAUUAAUUAGUGUUAACUGAAGCUCAAUAUGGAGCAUAUUUAUUAACUUCUUGUUGGUGUUUCUUUGAGCUCAAUAUGGAACAUAUUUAUGAACUUGUUAGUGUUUCUUUGAGCUUAAUUUGGAGCGUAUUGAUGAAGAUUAAGUUUGCCAAUACUUGGAUAUAUGAUAUUGCACCUAUGGCUAGACUUAUAUUGGAGAAGAAUAAUGAUAGGGCUAGGGCUUGCAAGCUGCUUUGGAAUGUUGAUAUUGGAUUUGAGGUUGGAGAAGGGGAGUAUAG